AACUCGACUACAUGAAGCUGGAAUCGCUAGUAAUCGCGAAUCAGCAUGUCGCGGUGAAUACGUUCCCGGGUCUUGUACACACCGCCCGUCACACCAUGGGAGUUGGUAACGCCCGAAGCCAGUGACCCAACCUUAAGAGGAGGGAGCUGUCGAAGGUGGGACCGAUAACUGGGGUGAAGUCGUAACAAGGUAAC
RNAcentral lists this ribosomal RNA (194 nucleotides) under uncultured bacterium. RNAcentral describes it as "partial 16S ribosomal RNA". It matches the Rfam family "Bacterial small subunit ribosomal RNA", at positions 1309 to 1500 of the family's 1533-position model. The record is from RNAcentral.